UCCUACGGGAGGCAGCAGUAGGGAAUCUUCGGCAAUGGACGGAAGUCUGACCGAGCAACGCCGCGUGAGUGAAGAAGGUUUUCGGAUCGUAAAGCUCUGUUGUAAGAGAAGAACGAGUGUGAGAGUGGAAAGUUCACACUGUGACGGUAUCUUACCAGAAAGGGACGGCUAACUACGUGCCAGCAGCCGCGGUAAUACGUAGGUCCCGAGCGUUGUCCGGAUUUAUUGGGCGUAAAGCGAGCGCAGGCGGUUAGAUAAGUCUGAAGUUAAAGGCUGUGGCUUAACCAUAGUAGGCUUUGGAAACUGUUUAACUUGAGUGCAAGAGGGGAGAGUGGAAUUCCAUGUGUAGCGGUGAAAUGCGUAGAUAUAUGGAGGAACACCAGUGGCGAAAGCGGCUCUCUGGCUUGUAACUGACGCUGAGGCUCGAAAGCGUGGGGAGCAAACAGGAUUAGAUACCCUGGUAGUCCACGCUGUAAACGAUGAGUGCUAGGUGUUAGACCCUUUCCGGGGUUUAGUGCCGUAGCUAACGCAUUAAGCACUCCGCCUGGGGAG
RNAcentral lists this ribosomal RNA (552 nucleotides) under uncultured Streptococcus sp. Its description in RNAcentral is "bacterial SSU rRNA". It matches the Rfam family "Bacterial small subunit ribosomal RNA", at positions 337 to 880 of the family's 1533-position model. Lineage: Bacteria; Bacillati; Bacillota; Bacilli; Lactobacillales; Streptococcaceae. The record is from RNAcentral.